GACACACCUCACCAACAAAACUCUCCAAACCUUCUCCCAAACUUGUCGAAACCAAAUCGGGCCGCAUUGUCAGGCCACCUAAUAGACUGGACUUAUAAACUCUCUUUAAUUGUUUCUUGUAAUAUUGUAUGUUCUGUGUUUUUUUUUAUUUUUACAGGGGAAGAUGUCGCAUACGUCACACUUGUGCCUAUUGAACAUGUGACAGUUGUGUCUCUACACAGUCGGCAGUUACCUCCCGCGUAGUGUGUGAUCGUCCGUAGUCAAAUAAACAUGUCUGCAUCAAAAUUCCGAAGUUACCAAAAUCAGCCGAGUUAUCAGCUGCCUCAUCAGUGAAAGAAAAACCUGGUAUCGUUUAAGUUUUCUAACAGCUGGGACUUUUACUGUGAUGCAGUCUCGAAAAUGUCUUCCCACUCAGAACCAGAGUUGUCACACAAACACCAAGCCCGUUCUUUGGAGAUAAAUGCAUGUCGUUUUCAAACCAUGAUGAUGGCUACACGAGAAGUUUGGAAGUUGGAGGAACUGUUAGAACGUCUUCUUUAUGUUACUUAAUCUUCUCUGAUCAAUAGUCUAGUUUCAGAAAUCACCACCAAAUAUG
Long non-coding RNA from Uloborus diversus, 595 nucleotides. RefSeq lists it as uncharacterized. NCBI's taxonomy places the organism in Eukaryota, Metazoa, Arthropoda, Arachnida, Araneae, Uloboridae. The record is from RefSeq and is a predicted model, not a curated record. The transcript has 4 exons.